UACGGAGGGAGCUAGCGUUGUUCGGAAUUACUGGGCGUAAAGCGCACGUAGGCGGCUUUGUAAGUUAGAGGUGAAAGCCUGGGGCUCAACCCCAGAAUUGCCUUUAAGACUGCAUCGCUUGAAUCCAGGAGAGGUGAGUGGAAUUCCGGGUGUAGAGGUGAAAUUCGUAGAUAUUCGGAAGAACACCAGUGGCGAAGGCGGCUCACUGGACUGGUAUUGACGCUGAGGUGCGAGAGCGUGGGGAGCAAACAGG
Molecule: ribosomal RNA, 253 nt
Filed under: uncultured bacterium
Lineage: Bacteria
Description: partial 16S ribosomal RNA
Rfam family: Bacterial small subunit ribosomal RNA
Source: RNAcentral